Molecule: ribosomal RNA, 276 nt
Filed under: Triticum aestivum (bread wheat)
Lineage: Eukaryota; Viridiplantae; Streptophyta; Magnoliopsida; Poales; Poaceae
Description: partial small subunit ribosomal RNA
Source: RNAcentral
AUGCCACUGGUUGAUAAGUUCUCCAACAAAAUGAAGGGAUGGAAACCGAAGAUGAUGGCUACGGCGGGUCGCCUCACCCUCACUCGCUCUGUCCUCAUGGCUCUGCCGGUCCACCUAAUGGCGGCACUGCCAUUGCCGGCCUGGGCGAUCAAAAUCAUCAACCGUCGUUGUCGCAGCUUCAUCUGGAAGGGCAAGGAACAGAUCAAUGGGGGCCAUUGCCUGCUUCCAUGGUCUAGGGUGUGCAUGCCCCGGGAGCUUGGGGGCUUGGAGUUUUGA